Brassica oleracea var. oleracea is the source of this 986-nucleotide long non-coding RNA. RefSeq lists it as uncharacterized. NCBI's taxonomy places the organism in Eukaryota, Viridiplantae, Streptophyta, Magnoliopsida, Brassicales, Brassicaceae. The record is from RefSeq and is a predicted model, not a curated record. The transcript has 3 exons.
CAUCUUUUUUUCAGGGUUUUACUCUACUGCGAUUCUGUGACCACAGAAGACCUCAGCUCUUCCUCCGUACCUCUUCGUCUCCUAAACACUCCGAACACCGCCUCUGUAACUUCAUCUGUUUCCGUAUUACAUCUCCUUAAAUCUCACCAUUUAUUUGAACCCACUACUCAUCCCACUCUUUCUCAAUUAAACAUUGUCAUUAUCAUCAAAGGUAACCGCUCGAAGCUUUUUAGUAUAAAUGUGUUUCUUCUCUACGAUGAGAAGCCACACUGCUACAUAAUCUCAAAUUCCAGACGUUGUCAAGCUUUGAAUCCAACAAUGGAUAAUUCCUACACGUUUCUUUCCAACACGCAGAGGUCCGCCUUCUCAGGUUUUGAAUGUCAAGAAAGUGGGCCAACUGAUGAGUGUCAACAUGCUCUUCCUGAAUGAGAAGGUAACUCCGACGAACUCAGUCUAAGUCGAUGAUGAUUCAAGGUUCUGUUAACGCACUCCGGCUCAAUGAUCAAACUCGAGUUUUAGUAGCAGUGUAGCGAAUAAAGAUGAUUAUCAAACCAUCACAUGUAUAUUAGCUGAAGAUGAGAGCUUAAGAAGAGGCAUCUUGCUCGGGACGAGAUUGUCUCAUUUAGAUUGAUUCAUGUUGGCCACAUAUGGGUUAGCUGAAGGAACAUUCAAUAGACUUUUUAUCUACGUUGCAUGGAAGCGUGUCUCGCGUACUGGUUCCUGGUUCCGAAGCGGAAACGGAGUCGGAAGCGUGCCGGAAUCGCUCGGAAGCGUGCCGGAAUCGCGGUUCCAAAAAAAAACAGAUAUGGAAGCGUGAUGGAAACGAUGAAUCCUAUUUGGAAGCGUUUAAGUUUGAUAUUGGAAUCGUAAAUAAAAAUAAAAAAAGGAAAAAUUAAAUGUUAUGUUUUGUUUCUUUAACUGAAAACCCUAGUAAAAAAAAGGAAACUGAAAAGACUACGACAAAGUCAUUGUUCUCAUUUCUUUUA